UACGUAGGGGGCGAGCGUUGUCCGGAUUUAUUGGGCGUAAAGAGCUCGUAGGCGGUUCGAUAAGUCGGACGUGAAAUCUCCACGCUCAACGUGGAGGGGCCGUUCGAUACUGUCGUGACUCGAGUCCGGUAGGGGAGUGUGGAAUUCCCGGUGUAGCGGUGAAAUGCGCAGAUAUUAGGAAGAACACCAGUGGCGAAGGCGGCUCACUGGCUCGGUACUGACGCUGAGGCGCGAAAGCGUGGGGAGCAAACAGG
This 254-nucleotide ribosomal RNA is filed under the name uncultured bacterium. RNAcentral describes it as "partial 16S ribosomal RNA". It matches the Rfam family "Bacterial small subunit ribosomal RNA", at positions 524 to 776 of the family's 1533-position model. The record is from RNAcentral.